CCUACGGGUGGCAGCAGUGGGGAAUAUUGGACAAUGGGCGAAAGCCUGAUCCAGCCAUGCCGCGUGUGUGAAGAAGGCCUUCGGGUUGUAAAGCACUUUCAGUGGGGAAGAAAGCCUUGGGGCUAAUACCCUCGAGGAAGGACAUCACCCACAGAAGAAGCACCGGCUAACUCCGUGCCAGCAGCCGCGGUAAUACGGAGGGUGCGAGCGUUAAUCGGAAUUACUGGGCGUAAAGCGCGCGUAGGCGGUCUGAUAAGCCGGUUGUGAAAGCCCCGGGCUCAACCUGGGAACGGCAUCCGGAACUGUCAGGCUAGAGUGCAGGAGAGGAAGGUAGAAUUCCCGGUGUAGCGGUGAAAUGCGUAGAGAUCGGGAGGAAUACCAGUGGCGAAGGCGGCCUUCUGGACUGACACUGACGCUGAGGUGCGAAAGCGUGGGUAGCAAACAGGAUUAGAUCCCUUGUAGUC
RNAcentral lists this ribosomal RNA (464 nucleotides) under Vreelandella stevensii. RNAcentral describes it as "partial 16S ribosomal RNA". It matches the Rfam family "Bacterial small subunit ribosomal RNA", at positions 338 to 795 of the family's 1533-position model. The record is from RNAcentral. Lineage: Bacteria; Pseudomonadati; Pseudomonadota; Gammaproteobacteria; Oceanospirillales; Halomonadaceae.